RNAcentral lists this ribosomal RNA (497 nucleotides) under uncultured bacterium. RNAcentral's name for it is "partial 16S ribosomal RNA". It matches the Rfam family "Bacterial small subunit ribosomal RNA", at positions 30 to 507 of the family's 1533-position model. The record is from RNAcentral.
AUUGAACGCUGGCGGCAGGCCUAACACAUGCAAGUCGAGCGGACGAACGGGGCUUUCUCCUGGCUUCAGCGGCGGACGGGCGGGUAAGGCCCAGGAAGCUGACCUACAGAUAGGGAUAAGGUAAGGACACGAGCCCUGAUACCGCAUACGACCUGAUGGUGAAAGGGAGGGUUCUUUGGAGCACGCGCGAUCAGAUGACACUAAUACGGGUAUCCGGGCCGGAUUAGCUAGUUGGUAGGGUAACGGCUGACCAAGGCAACGAUGCGUAGCUGACCUGAGAGGGUGAUCAGCCACACUGGAACUGAGACACGGUCCAGACUCCUACGGGAGGCAGCAGUGGGGAAUCUUCCACAAUGGGCGAAAGCCUGACGCAGCCACGCCGCGUGUGUGAAGAAGGUCUUCGGAUUGUAAAGCACUUUUAGUUGGGAAGAAGAGAAGUAAGUUAAUCUCUUCCCGUCUUGACGUUACCAACACAAUAAGCCCCGGCUAACUUCGUG